ACUGAGGUUUGAUGGACGAUAUUAAUUUUAUACUGGGUCAGGUUCGGAAGAAAGCAGCCCCUAAACUUAAAAUCGGGUCGUCAAAACCUCAUUUUU
RNAcentral lists this signal recognition particle RNA (96 nucleotides) under bacterium. RNAcentral's name for it is "signal recognition particle sRNA small type". It matches the Rfam family "Bacterial small signal recognition particle RNA". Rfam says of the family: The signal recognition particle (SRP) is a universally conserved ribonucleoprotein involved in the co-translational targeting of proteins to membranes. Archaeal SRP consists of a 7S RNA and homologues of the eukaryotic SRP19 and SRP54 proteins. The record is from RNAcentral.